CGAGCGUGUCCAGACUGCGGCUGCGCAGGAGAGCGCAGCAACUCACCAUGCUUUACGGCAAGGCAUGAGAAGUCCCAGGCGCAGGUGAAGUCCUGGGAAGUGGCUCCUGCGUCCGCCCAGCAUACCUGAGACUGCAGUUACACCGCGCCUGGCGCCUGGAGUCUCUGCUCAGUGACUGAGUGACAAGACCUGCUCUGCUCCUCUCUGACACCUGUCAGAGCCUCGUCCGUCGUCUGUGUGCAGAGAUGGAAAUGAGCAGGAGUGACACAACAUGCCAGAGGUGACGGUGACGGCUCACUUCUCUCCCCCGGCUUCUGAAUCAGUUGCACAGCUCGUUGGAUGGCUCGGGAACAAUAAUUAUCCACUCUGAAACUUUCAGAUGAACCUUAUUUGUGAUGCAGUGAUGUCACACUCACUUUGACAUGUGAGUUGUGAUGCUAGGGAUGUGGUGCCAUGGUUAUUGACUGUCAACACAUGUUCAACUGCAAAUAAGUUUGGAAAUUAUGUUGCCAGAUCUAUAUGUCGACAUUGCAUACAAGCCUAUAGACCUUAAAGCCAGAGUAUGUGACUUUAAAAGGAAAACAUACUCUUCCUUUUACAAA
Molecule: long non-coding RNA, 602 nt
Organism: Trematomus bernacchii (emerald rockcod)
Lineage: Eukaryota; Metazoa; Chordata; Actinopteri; Perciformes; Nototheniidae
Exons: 3
Source: RefSeq, a predicted model, not a curated record